AUGAGGGAUAUUGCACAAUGGGCGAAAGCCUGAUGCAGCGACGCCGCGUGGGUGAUGAAGUCCUUCGGGAUGUAAAGCCCUUUUCUCGGGGAAGAUACGGACGGUACCCGAGGAAGAAGCCCCGGCUAACUACGUGCCAGCAGCCGCGGUAAUACGUAGGGGGCGAGCGUUGUCCGGAUUUACUGGGCGUAAAGCGCGUGUAGGCGGUCCCUUAAGUCCGGGGUGAAAGGCGGAGGCUCAACCUCCGAGCGGCCACGGAAACUGGGGGUCUUGAGUGUCGGAGAGGGGAGUGGAAUUCCUGGUGUAGCGGUGAAAUGCGUAGAGAUCAGGAGGAACACCGGUGGCGAAGGCGGCUCCCUGGCCGAACACUGACGCUGAGACGCGAAAGCGCGGGGAGCGAACGG
RNAcentral lists this ribosomal RNA (404 nucleotides) under uncultured bacterium. RNAcentral's name for it is "bacterial SSU rRNA". It matches the Rfam family "Bacterial small subunit ribosomal RNA", at positions 354 to 775 of the family's 1533-position model. The record is from RNAcentral.